Molecule: transfer RNA, 73 nt
Filed under: Bacteroidales bacterium
Lineage: Bacteria; Pseudomonadati; Bacteroidota; Bacteroidia; Bacteroidales
Description: tRNA-Lys
Rfam family: tRNA
About the family: Transfer RNA (tRNA) molecules are approximately 80 nucleotides in length.
Source: RNAcentral
GCUUCCUUAGCUCAGUUGGUAGAGCAAUUGACUCUUAAUCAAUGGGUCCGGGGUUCGACCCCCCGAGGGAGUA